GCCUAAUACAUGCAAGUCGAACGAUGAAGCUUCUAGCUUGCUAGAAGUGGAUUAGUGGCGCACGGGUGAGUAAGGUAUAGUUAAUCUGCCCUACACAAGAGGACAACAGUUGGAAACGACUGCUAAUACUCUAUACUCCUGCUUAACACAAGUUGAGUAGGGAAAGUUUUUCGGUGUAGGAUGAGACUAUAUAGUAUCAGCUAGUUGGUAAGGUAAUGGCUUACCAAGGCUAUGACGCUUAACUGGUCUGAGAGGAUGAUCAGUCACACUGGAACUGAGACACGGUCCAGACUCCUACGGGAGGCAGCAGUAGGGAAUAUUGCGCAAUGGGGGAAACCCUGACGCAGCAACGCCGCGUGGAGGAUGACACUUUUCGGAGCGUAAACUCCUUUUCUUAGGGAAGAAUUCUGACGGUACCUAAGGAAUAAGCACCGGCUAACUCCGUGCCAGCAGCCGCGGUAAUACGGAGGGUGCAAGCGUUACUCGGAAUCACUGGGCGUAAAGGGCGCGUAGGCGGAUUAUCAAGUCUCUUGUGAAAUCUAAUGGCUUAACCAUUAAACUGCUUGGGAAACUGAUAGUCUAGAGUGAGGGAGAGGCAGAUGGAAUUGGUGGUGUAGGGGUAAAAUCCGUAGAUAUCACCAAGAAUACCCAUUGCGAAGGCGAUCUGCUGGAACUCAACUGACGCUAAGGCG
RNAcentral lists this ribosomal RNA (692 nucleotides) under Salmonella enterica subsp. enterica serovar Enteritidis. Its description in RNAcentral is "bacterial SSU rRNA". It matches the Rfam family "Bacterial small subunit ribosomal RNA", at positions 46 to 753 of the family's 1533-position model. The record is from RNAcentral. Lineage: Bacteria; Pseudomonadati; Pseudomonadota; Gammaproteobacteria; Enterobacterales; Enterobacteriaceae.